CUGGAACCGUCUGAGCGGCGGGGGAGCCGGUGUGUGAAGCCGGCACCACGUUAGCGGAACCGAGUUAUUGAAGGGCCCCACCUGGGUGGAGCCGUGAGUGUGAGCAGCUUCCGCUUCCCCCGGAAGCUGGCGUCGUGCAGGAACCCUCACCCGCCCGAGCGGGGCCCUGGGCCUCCGGGUCACUCUCUGUGGCGGGGUCUGGCUGCGCGUCAGACGGCCUCCUCCAAUGCCCGCAGUUGCUGUCGCCCCCAGGCCUGGACCGGGGAGUGAGGGGUGGGCCUGACCGGCCCCUGAGCUCCCGUCAGCCCCCCACGCGAGCCCGUCCUGUGCUGGGGGCAGGGAGAUGGGCCGGUGGGAGAGGAGACCGCAUCCAGCCCUCCCUGGCCACCUGCAGGGUCCCCACCGUGGCGGCUGCUUUACUGCUAACUCCUCCCGGGGACCCCAAGUCCCCAUCGCUCUCGGGGGUCCCCCUCAUCCGAACCGCCUCGGAGGAGGGCCGCAUCUCACGCGGAGCACCCCUCCACGCCUGUGACCCUGGACUUGCUCUCCCGCCCCCGCCCGGGCCUCAGGGCUCAGGAGGCCGUGAUGAAGCCAGCAGGUGAACUGCACCCUGGAGCCUCCGACGGGGCGGCCACGGGCAGCGAAGAACCCGGAAAAACAGUACCCUUCUGAGGUUAAUCCGCGUUGAUAGAAGCAGGUGUGGUUCAUCUGGAAUCUGUUGGUGUGAACUGCGCGGCGGCGUCCCCCACCAGGCACCACAGGUGAUUCAUUCGUUUCCCUGAAAAGGCGCCUGGAUGCUGUUUCUAGCUCCCGUUAUCCCCAGCGAUGCUGCACCUGCCCCAGGACACACGCUAGGGUGGAACCGCCGGGCAUGGAGCAGGUGUGGUCUCAACCGCAGGAGAAACAGCCGGGUAGCCUCCAAAGGGACGUGCCACUUGGCGCUCCUGCAAGGGGAGAGGCACUGAGGCUCUCGGUCCUCACCAGCACGUCCUUGUGCCACACUCAGGCCCGGCGGGUGGUGUGGGGGCCGCAUCUCAUGGAGGUCUCCGUCCACGUUGCCCCCAUUGUGACCGCAGCGGGCGCCUCUUGGUAGCAGCCACCGGCCUCUUCUGGGACUCGCCGGAGGGUUUCCACGUCGCCCGCUCCGACGGGGCUGUUCAUCUCCCCUUGAUCUGUGGGACUCCCCGUCCGUCUCAGAUGACAGAAUGGAGCCCUGGGCUUCUCCAUGAAGUUCCUGUGUGACCUAGGGCAAGGCACUGCCAUCUCUGAGCCAUCCUCGCUUUCCAUCUCUGUGAAAGGAAAAGGCUUGGACACGGAGCUGCCCCGCCUCUGACUGGACGUCCCUUCCCCACCCAGCGCCAGAGGAUCUUGUGAUCCAAGCAGUUGCAACCUCGCCGGGCUCCUGCGGCUCCCGCCAGUGGACCCAAGAAAAGCCAGGCCUGUCUGAGGUCCAGGCAUGGUGACCCCAGGUUACCCAGGGUGCUGGAGCCCUCUUCCGUGGCAGGGAGAGGCCACGUGCUCCUUCCUGCUCUGGUUCCACCCUCACUGGCCCCUGGUCCCCGCCUGUUUGAGGAGAUCCUGAGGGGGCUGCCGGGAGGACUGGUUCCAACGCUCAGGGCCUCCGCCUGGACUCUGGCCUGCAGGCUUGAGGAGGGAGAGGCCUGUCCUCCCUCACUGCC
Molecule: long non-coding RNA, 1679 nt
Filed under: Homo sapiens (human)
Lineage: Eukaryota; Metazoa; Chordata; Mammalia; Primates; Hominidae
Description: non-protein coding lnc-ELFN1-1:5
Source: RNAcentral